UUUGAAAAGGGUAUAUAACUGCAACCAAUUACUCUACUGUCAGGUAGUUUAGUAAGUGCUACAGCUGGCUUAAAUAAUUAACAUUGAAGUGUAGCUUUAAUUUCUGAAAUGUGAUUUAUCAUUGAAACUGAAUUCAAUUAAAUUAAACUGAAAGCAGUUUCUGGCAGGAAAUUAGGAAGCUGGUCAGAAAGUCUGCAUCUGUAACUAAUGAUGUGCAACCAUAAUGGUGGUUCAAACACAAAUCUGUCUGCAGAAACAUAAAUAGUAGAUGGUUAGAAAAGGGCAGAGAUGCUUGGGCUGUCAUCAGUCAAACAGUAAGCCGAGCUCAGGCACAUCACGGUGCUGGUGUUUAGUGCUGCUGCACGAACAACAAGAGAGUUCAAGUUACUCAAAGCAAGAAGGCGGGAGCCCAGAUCCAGCACAGCUCCAAGGUCCUUGUACUCUGCAUGCCGGCUGACGGUCAUACGACUUACUGGAACAGAGCCAGAACAGAACAGAGCCAUCAUUAAUGCUGUACCAGAAUUGUGUUAGGAAGGUCCUGCAUUCUCACCGUGAUGGGGCUUGGGACCGCUGCGACCACAAUGCCGAUGGUUGUCUGAGGAGACGGAGGAGUGGGGCUGGCACAAGGCACACCGUCGUCAGCCCUCUUAGUUUGUCCCUCUCCAGGUGAAGCACCUUCUGGGCCCACUCGCACACCAGAUCACAGGCUGCAAACCGCACGUCCUCCUGUAUGCUGCUCAGCUGGCCUGCUGUGUCUAAGACAUCACACUGGAGCUGCACGCAAGAGAUAAGCAGUUAAAC
Acanthopagrus latus (yellowfin seabream) is the source of this 801-nucleotide long non-coding RNA. RefSeq lists it as uncharacterized. NCBI's taxonomy places the organism in Eukaryota, Metazoa, Chordata, Actinopteri, Spariformes, Sparidae. The record is from RefSeq and is a predicted model, not a curated record. The transcript has 4 exons.